Sinocyclocheilus rhinocerous is the source of this 339-nucleotide long non-coding RNA. RefSeq lists it as uncharacterized. The transcript is spliced from 3 exons. Lineage: Eukaryota; Metazoa; Chordata; Actinopteri; Cypriniformes; Cyprinidae. The record is from RefSeq and is a predicted model, not a curated record.
AUUCAGAACUGAGAAUCAGUGCAGUUCCUCCUGUACAGAGCUGCACUGAAUGGAGCAGAACUGGCACAAACCUAGAACAAUGAGAGUUAAGCCAGGUCCUGUCAGUGGGAUGGUGGUCCUGUUUGCAAGAGAGGAAACUCGCUGAGUGGUUAAGGAGAAUGUUUACAGUGGCGUCACAGUGAUCUGCUUGGCCUAUCAGUCCUCCAAGUGGCAGAAGUGUUAAAAAACCAUAGCAUUACACUAUCACAGUUAUUAGUAUUUUAAAUAACUAUUACACUGUAUCAAAGUUUCUAAAAUGUACGUGUUUAUAUUUACAUGUUUAGAUUACACUAGUGAGCA